GUGCCAGCAGCCGCGGUAAUACCGGCAGCUCGAGUGAUGUCCAAUAUUAUUGGGCCUAAAGCGUCCGUAGCUGGCUGAACAAGUCCGUCGGGAAAUCCACGUGCUUAACACGUGGGCGACCGGCGGAAACUGCACAGCUUGGGACCGGAAGGCUCGAAGGGUACGUUCGGGGUAGGAGUGAAAUCCCAUAAUCCCGCACGGACCACCGAUGGCGAAAGCACUUCGAGAAAACGGAUCCGACAGUGAGGGACGAAAGCCAGGGUCUCCAACCGGAUUAGAUACCCCGGUAGUCC
This 293-nucleotide ribosomal RNA is filed under the name uncultured bacterium. RNAcentral describes it as "partial 16S ribosomal RNA". It matches the Rfam family "Archaeal small subunit ribosomal RNA", at positions 455 to 747 of the family's 1478-position model. The record is from RNAcentral.